UAGGGCCGGGCACGGUGGCUCACGCCUGUAAUCCCAGCACUUUGGGAGGCCGAGGUGGGGGGAUCACAAGGUCAGGAGAUCGAGACCAUCCUGGCUAACACAGUGAAACCCCGUCUCUACUAAAAAUACAAAAAAAUUAGCCAGGUGUGGUGGCGGGCGCCUGUAGUCCCAGCUACUCGGGAGGCUGAGGCAGGAGAAUGGCGUGAACCCGGGAGGCGGAGCUUGCAGUGAGCCGAGAUCGCACCACUACACUCC
RNAcentral lists this long non-coding RNA (255 nucleotides) under Homo sapiens (human). RNAcentral describes it as "HSALNT0409121". Lineage: Eukaryota; Metazoa; Chordata; Mammalia; Primates; Hominidae. The record is from RNAcentral.